RNAcentral lists this non-coding RNA (144 nucleotides) under Scrippsiella hangoei. The record is from RNAcentral. Lineage: Eukaryota; Dinophyceae; Peridiniales; Peridiniaceae.
CAAGCUGGAGCAGCUCAUCCCCAGACGGCAGCAGCACAACCGCGGCGCGAAGGGCAACGCGAACUUCAGUUUCAACGCGGAUGAGGAUCAGGCGGAGGACGGAGAUGCGCAGGGAAACUUCCCGCUCGGGGCCGCGAGCGGAUC